This is a long non-coding RNA of Olea europaea var. sylvestris, 465 nucleotides long. RefSeq lists it as uncharacterized. The record is from RefSeq and is a predicted model, not a curated record. Lineage: Eukaryota; Viridiplantae; Streptophyta; Magnoliopsida; Lamiales; Oleaceae. The transcript has 2 exons.
UCUAAGACGGACAUGCCAGGAGUGUUUGUGCUUCAUAACAAGGGGGAGAGGAAGAUCCAAAGCACCUAGAUCCCUAGUCAUCACAACAUGCCAUGGACCUUGACAAUGGAUCGAUUGCCAAUAAAAGAACUCUUCUUCUGUUGUCUCUUUACAAUUGCAGAAUGACCAAGGCUUAGACACUGUGGCUCUUGCCUCUGAUUCAAAGCCGAAGAAGAAGAUCUGUUGUGCUUGCCCCGACGCUAAGAAGUUGAGAGACGAGUGCACUGUGGAGCAUGGUGAAUCAGCUUGUGAAAAAUGGAUCGAGGCACACAAAAGAUGCCUCCGUGCAGAAGGUUUCAAUAUUUGAGAUUGAGGUUGUGAUAAACUUGAGAAAAUUAGAUGAUACUUUUUGGGCUUGUUACUAAUUGAUAUAGUGGUUAUCUACAUAAUUAUUUUGGGAAUGAUAAUUCAAACUCUUUAUGUUCA